RNAcentral lists this long non-coding RNA (894 nucleotides) under Brassica rapa (field mustard). Its description in RNAcentral is "long non-coding RNA (BRAP_LNC000952)". The record is from RNAcentral. Lineage: Eukaryota; Viridiplantae; Streptophyta; Magnoliopsida; Brassicales; Brassicaceae.
UUUAUUUCUAUAUUUUUAAGGGCAAUUGUCAAUAAUAUCACCUUUUGAAGUUUAUGUCUAAAAAAUAGCACUAGAAGGAAAAAAUCACAAAAGUGACAUUCAUUAAAGGGUAAAAUAUCUAUAAUACCAUUGGUUUAAAAUUAAAUAAACAAACAAAAAUAAAUAAAAAUAAAUAAAAUAAAAAUAAAAAAAUGAAAAAAAUAAAUUUUUUUAUAGUUCAGAUUAUAUGUUUUCAGAUUCGAAAUUUUUAUAAUUUUUUUUUUGAAAUUUUUUUUUGGACAAAUCUCCAAAAUAGCACCUUUCUAGGUUUAUAUCACAAAAAUAGCAUUCAAAAACUAAAAUGAUCAAAAUAGCAUUUUAUCUUUUGAAAAAUUUAAAUUUUUUUAUUUUUUAAAAUUUGAAAUCUUAUCCCCAAAACCUCACUUCUCAACUCUAAACCCUAAAACCUAAACUCUAAACCCUAAACCCUAAAUUCUAAACCCUAAACCCCACCCCUUGAGUGCUAUUUUUGUGACUUUUGGCCUUCAGUGCUAGUUUGAAAACAAAAACUUGAUUUAGUUCUAUUUUGGUCUUUUUCUCUCUUUUUUUCGAAUUUUUUUUUUCAAAUUUUCUUUUUAUUAUUUAAAAAUACUUUUUGAAACUGUUUUUAAAAUUUUUAUUUUUUAUUUUAGUAUUUAUUUUUUAUAAAAUUUUAAACUCUAAUUCUAAAACUCCACCCCUUAACUCUAAACCCUAAGAUUUGGAUUAAUUAACCCAAGGGGUAUAAAUGUAUAUUUACCUCUUUAAUGAAACCUAUUUUUGUGACUUUGAGCCUUGAGUGCUACUUUGGGAACAAAAACUUGGUUUGGUGCUAUCUUAAUCUUUUUCUCUAUUUUUAAUGGUAAAUAUUCUUAA